GUGGGGGAUAUUGGUCAAUGGGCGCAAGCCUGAACCAGCGACGCCGCGUGGGUGAAGAAGGUCUUCGGAUCGUAAAGCCCUUUUCCCACUGAAGAGGAAGGACGGUAGGUGGGGAAGAAGUCUCGGCUAACUACGUGCCAGCAGCCGCGGUAAAACGUAGGAGACAAGCGUUAUCCGGAGUUACUGGGCGUAAAGGGCGUGCAGGUGGCGUCUUAAGUCUGUUGAGAAAGCGCCUGGCUUAACCGGGCGAGGCCAAUGGAGACUGAGAAGCUGGAGGACGGCGGAGGGGUGUGGAAUUCCGGGUGUAGUGGUGAAAUGCGUAGAGAUCCGGAGGAACACCAGAGGCGAAGGCGGCACUCUAAGCCGUACCUGACACUGAGACGCGACAGCACGGGGAGCAAACG
Molecule: ribosomal RNA, 404 nt
Filed under: uncultured bacterium
Lineage: Bacteria
Description: bacterial SSU rRNA
Rfam family: Bacterial small subunit ribosomal RNA
Source: RNAcentral